UACAGGGGGGGCAAGCGUUGUUCGGAAUUACUGGGCGUAAAGGGCUUGUAGGUGGCCGGACUAAGUCCGACGUGAAAUCCCCAGGCUUAACCUGGGAACUGCGUCGGAUACUGGUUGGCUUGAAUCCGGGAGAGGGAUGCGGAAUUCCAGGUGUAGCGGUGAAAUGCGUAGAUAUCUGGAGGAACACCGGUGGCGAAGGCGGCAUCCCUGGACCGGCAUUGACCACUG
This 228-nucleotide ribosomal RNA is filed under the name uncultured bacterium. RNAcentral describes it as "partial 16S ribosomal RNA". It matches the Rfam family "Bacterial small subunit ribosomal RNA", at positions 524 to 748 of the family's 1533-position model. The record is from RNAcentral.